Molecule: long non-coding RNA, 396 nt
Organism: Oncorhynchus keta (chum salmon)
Lineage: Eukaryota; Metazoa; Chordata; Actinopteri; Salmoniformes; Salmonidae
Exons: 3
Source: RefSeq, a predicted model, not a curated record
UGUUACAUCAGCAGACUGAGGAGGAGGGACUAACAGGUGAUCUCUGUUACAUCAGCAGACUGAGGAGGAGGGACUAACAGGUGAUCUCUGUUACAUCAGCAGACUGAGGAGGAGGGACUGACAGGUGAUCUCUGUUACAUCAGCAGACUGAGGAGGAGGGACUGACAGGUGAUCUCUGUUACAUCAACAGACUGAGGAGGAGGGACUGACAGGUGAUCUCUGUUACAUCAACAGACUGACAGGUGAUCCCUGUUACAUCAACAGACUGACAGGUGAUCCCUGUUACAUCAACAGACUGAGGAGGAGGGACUAACAGGUGAUCUCUGUUACAUCAGCAGACUGAGGAGGAGGGACUAACAGGUGAUCUCUGUUACAUCAGCAGACUGAGGAGGAGGG